Molecule: ribosomal RNA, 496 nt
Filed under: uncultured bacterium
Lineage: Bacteria
Description: partial 16S ribosomal RNA
Rfam family: Bacterial small subunit ribosomal RNA
Source: RNAcentral
GAUGAACGCUGGCGGCGUGCCUAAUACAUGCAAGUAGAACGCUGAAGGAGGAGCUUGCCCUUUCCGGAUGAGUUGCGAACGGGUGAGUAACGCGUAGGUAACCUGCCUGGUAGCGGGGGAUAACUAUUGGAAACGAUAGCUAAUACCGCAUAACAGUAGAUAUUGCAUGAUAUUUGCUUGAAAGGGGCAAUUGCUCCACUACCAGAUGGACCUGCGUUGUAUUAGCUAGUUGGUGAGGUAACGGCUCACCAAGGCGACGAUACAUAGCCGACCUGAGAGGGUGAUCGGCCACACUGGGACUGAGACACGGCCCAGACUCCUACGGGAGGCAGCAGUAGGGAAUCUUCGGCAAUGGACGGAAGUCUGACCGAGCAACGCCGCGUGAGUGAAGAAGGGUUUCGGAUCGUAAAGCUCUGUUGUAAGAGAAGAACGAGUGUGAGAGUGGAAAGUUCACACUGUGACGGUAUCUUACCAGAAAGGGACGGCUAACUACGUG